ACCUAGUAGUAUGGGAUAGCCACUAGAAAUGGUGGGUAAUACUGUAUAAUCCCUGCGGGGGAAAGAUUUAUCGCUAUUAGAUGAGCCUAUGUCAGAUUAGCUAGUUGGUGGGGUAAUGGCCUACCAAGGCGGUGAUCUGUAGCUGGUCUGAGAGGAUGAUCAGCCACACUGGAACUGAGACACGGUCCAGACUCCUACGGGAGGCAGCAGUGGGGAAUAUUGGACAAUGGGCGCAAGCCUGAUCCAGCUAUGCCGCGUGAGUGAGGAAGGCCUUAGGGUUGUAAAACUCUUUCAGUAGGGAAGAUAAUGACGGUACCUACAGAAGAAGUCCCGGCAAACUCCGUGCCAGCAGCCGCGGUAAUACGGAGGGGGCAAGCGUUGUUCGGAAUUAUUGGGCGUAAAGGGCAUGUAGGCGGUUUGGUAAGUUAAAGGUGAAAUACCAGGGCUUAACCCUGGGGCUGCUUUUAAUACUGCAGGACUAGAGUCCGGAAGAGGAU
Molecule: ribosomal RNA, 497 nt
Filed under: uncultured Anaplasma sp.
Lineage: Bacteria; Pseudomonadati; Pseudomonadota; Alphaproteobacteria; Rickettsiales; Anaplasmataceae
Description: bacterial SSU rRNA
Rfam family: Bacterial small subunit ribosomal RNA
Source: RNAcentral